This is a non-coding RNA of Myotis davidii, 76 nucleotides long. Lineage: Eukaryota; Metazoa; Chordata; Mammalia; Chiroptera; Vespertilionidae. The record is from Rfam.
GGAGGUUUCUUGGGUGAUGCACCCCGGAAGUUGGCUCCCUCCUCUCUGGUUUUGGGUGCAUCACCUGAGAACCACA